ACUCCUACGGGAGGCAGCAGUGGGGAAUAUUGCACAAUGGGGGAAACCCUGAUGCAGCCAUGCCGCGUGUGUGAAGAAGGCCUUCGGGUUGUAAAGCACUUUCAGUAGGGAGGAAGGUAGUGUAGUUAACACCUGCAUUAUUUUGACGUUACCUACAGAAGAAGCACCGGCUAACUCCGUGCCAGCAGCCGCGGUAAUACGGAGGGUGCGAGCGUUAAUCGGAAUUACUGGGCGUAAAGCGUCUGUAGGCGGCUUAUUAAGUCGGAUGUGAAAUCCCAGGGCUUAACCUUGGAACUGCAUUCGAUACUGGUAAGCUAGAGUGUGUAAGAGGGAUANUGGAAUUCCAGGUGUAGCGGUGAAAAUGCGUAGAUAUCUGGAGGAAC
This 383-nucleotide ribosomal RNA is filed under the name uncultured bacterium. RNAcentral's name for it is "bacterial SSU rRNA". It matches the Rfam family "Bacterial small subunit ribosomal RNA", at positions 335 to 707 of the family's 1533-position model. The record is from RNAcentral.